GUCGAUACUCACGCAGCAAACUCAGCAAACAGAGCGCGGUCCAGCCCCGCGGCAUCGCGGACCCCGUGCGCGCGCCUUGGCGGACCAGCAUCCUUCCCGCGCGGCUCGCCUCGCAGAUGCACAGAGUCCAAGACACUGCUCAGCGGAGCCGGGACGCGCUCCUCCCGCCCCCUCCGCCCGGGAGGGGGGUGGGAGAUUCUCGCUUUUUCCCCUCCCCUCCCUCUUUCGCCUUGGCAAGGCCGGCCCCUCUCCUUGGCUGCCACUAACGUAAGCUUCCCCGGUUAGUCCCAAAGGCAGAGGACUUUGGAGGGAGACUAGGAUUGCCGCAGACGAGGCCCCCUGAAAAUCGGUGGAGAUCUGGGAGCUCUCUAUUCCUCACCAGUUGUUCUGGGUAUCGGUGAAGUGGAGCAACGGGAACUCUGAGCUGAGGCUGUCAGCACUGUCACAGAUUGGGGAGAAAUUUCUUCUGGUUAUUUCAAAUGCCACUUUUCUCCCCUGGCUGAACCCUGGGAAAUGGAGGAAAGAACUCAUCUAUAGUACCUGAAUUAGCUUUGGGGACAGAGGAGAUGGAGAAUGAUUCUAUGGAGCAAAGUUUCUCAAAGCAUGGUCUACACAAAAGCAGAAUCAAGUCAGCCUUCUGGGCUGAUUGUGAACUUCUGAGGACCAGAAUCGAGGCUGAAUAAGGGGCUCAGCAGAUGGAAGCCACUUGAAACCAAACCUGCUCUAUUAGGCAUACAGGGGCAUAUUGUGUUCUCCUGGGCAGCCAUGGCUUUUAUCAGCACCUCUGGGGCAGAGCAUGCAUGGAGCAUUGGU
Long non-coding RNA from Choloepus didactylus (southern two-toed sloth), 813 nucleotides. RefSeq lists it as uncharacterized. The record is from RefSeq and is a predicted model, not a curated record. NCBI's taxonomy places the organism in Eukaryota, Metazoa, Chordata, Mammalia, Pilosa, Megalonychidae. The transcript is spliced from 4 exons.